Molecule: unclassified non-coding RNA, 334 nt
Filed under: uncultured Agaricales
Lineage: Eukaryota; Fungi; Basidiomycota; Agaricomycetes; Agaricales
Description: sequence contains ITS1
Rfam family: 5.8S ribosomal RNA (bases 1-105)
Source: RNAcentral
GAAAUGCGAUAAGUAAUGUGAAUUGCAGAAUUCAGUGAAUCAUCGAAUCUUUGAACGCACCUUGCGCUCCUUGGUAUUCCGAGGAGCAUGCCUGUUUGAGUAUCAUGAAAUUCUCAACCUUUUCAACUUUUUGGUUGAUCAGGCUUGGAUUGUGGGGGUUGCAGGCUUCACAGAGGUCUGCUCUCCUGAAAUGUAUUAGCAGGGACCUAUCAGCUUUUGGUGUGAUAAUUAUCUACAUCAUAGCUGUUGAUGGAACCAGCUUCUAACUGUCUUUUUGAAGACAACUUGAUUAUAUUUUGAUCUCAAAUCAGGUAGGACUACCCGCUGAACUUAA